AUUGAACGCUGGCGGCAGGCCUAACACAUGCAAGUCGAGCGAGCGGCGGACGGGUGAGUAAUGUCUGGGAAACUGCCUGAUGGAGGGGGAUAACUACUGGAAACGGUAGCUAAUACCGCAUACCAUCAGAUGUGCCCAGAUGGGAUUAGCUAGUAGGUGGGGUAAUGGCUCACCUCGGCGACGAUCCCUAGCUGGUCUGAGAGGAUGACCAGCCACACUGGAACGGGGACAAGGGCCAGACUCCUAAGGGAGGCAGCAGUGGGGAAUAUUGCACAAUGGGCGCAAGGCGGAUGCAGCCAUGGCGCGGGUGUGAAGAAGGCCUUCGGGUUGUAAAGCACUUUCAGCGGGGAAGCGGUACCCGGAGAAGAAGGACCGGCUAACUCCGUGCCAGCAGCCGCGGUAAUAC
RNAcentral lists this ribosomal RNA (406 nucleotides) under uncultured bacterium. Its description in RNAcentral is "partial 16S ribosomal RNA". It matches the Rfam family "Bacterial small subunit ribosomal RNA", at positions 29 to 526 of the family's 1533-position model. The record is from RNAcentral.